CGCCAUCUAGAUACAAUGGUUUAUCAACUUUAUUCGACGUUCGACUGUGUUCGACUCUCGAGUUUAGACGACAAGAAGCGCCAGGAGUUUUUUCAUGUCUGCCAUUUUGCGAUCGGUAAACAUCGUAUCUUCAAUUAAUUAGAGAAUUUUCGGAAUUAACCUGCACUUAUGUACGAAAGGGACUGGAAGCUUGGGAGAUAAAAAAUAAUAUUUCUUUGCUUUUGGGAAAUAAUUUAAGAGAUUCAUAAAUUGGGCACACUAGCCGUAGUCAUGAUGGAAAUCGAUUCACUCCAAUUUUCAUCAAAAGAUGAAGAAAUACAAUAUUGGAUGGAUGUUGCUCAACAGAUGCAUCAACGGAAAGAAGAUGUAGAGCGGGAAUUAGAGGAAUUUCAAGAAAAUUCUCAGAUGCUUGAGAGAGAACUCGAGGCAUCAUUGGAACAGGCAGAAAAAACAAAUAAAGAAUUAAGACAGAGAAACUCGAGACUUGCAACAGAAAUUGAACAGUUAAGAACACGAUUAGACCAGCAAUCAGCAGAUUGUACAAUAUUUCAAACACAAGCACAAGAACUGCAAGCCCAAAAUGAUCAAUAUAUGAAAUAUAUACGAGAACUAGAACAAAAGAAUGAUGACUUAGAGAGAGCAAAUCGAGUAAAUACAGUGACAGAAGAAGAGAUAGAGGCUAAAUUUAAUCUAGCAAUUGAAAAGAAUGCUUUAUUGGAAUCUGAGCUGGAUGAAAAGGAAGGCUUGAAAGUAAUUGUACAGCGCCUUACUGACGAAAUUAGAGAUUUGAAACAAGAAAUCCAAAUUCACGAACGACAACAACCCGAUAACGACAAGUCAGCUGAUAGAGUACGAACUGUGGUUGACAGUAACAAACUACAAGUUGAUUUGGAAACGUGUACACCAUCAAUUAGUCCAUUGACAGUACAAAAUGCAGCUGGUAUAAUACACACACCGACACCUCCACCAAUGAAAAUUGGAAAUGGCGUUGUUGGUGGUGUUAUCGCAAACAACAACAACAAUAACAAUAUGAAUCCGCCAAUGGCACCAUGCACCAGAAUACUGGCAAUGAACAUGAUCGGUGACCUCAUGCGAAAAGUUGGGCUUGACAGGUGGCUCUGCAUGGACUGUAGAAGAGUGAAGUGUUCUUGUCCCGGUGGAAAAAAGACAAAGACCACUCCAACCAGAGAGCUCCCAUCAGUUCAGAUUGAAACACCUGUAGAGUGUAUACGACAACAACCAAGGCCAACUAAAUGCUGACCAAGUCUGACCUGAUAUCUCCUACACUACACUGCAAGCCUUUUCGUCUCCGUUCAACUGCAGGCCCUGGAGAACAAGCUCAACACAUGUCGCAAUGCAUCUCGAGAGGACCAGGCAAUGCGUGAUCUCUACAGGUAACGCUAAACAAUCUACUCCCAUAGGAUUGUUGUGUCGUUAUUAUUCCCUUGUUGUAUCUUACGUGUUGGGCACGUAGUGCGACGAUAUCAUGUACCUGCGACUUCCUCGUGUCAAAGACAAUUCGUUAUAAACGAUGUCGCUCCAAAAUCAAACGAUGCAUUUUGUGAUACGAAUAAAACGAGAGACUCAGCAAGGUGCAUGAUACUUAUAUCAAAUGAUUCGUACUUACAUCUUAGUUCCGCUGGUUGUGCUUCCUCUACUCAUCAUUAGUGGUCAUCGUAUUCCGUUAGGACAAAGGACAGUCUUAUUUUAAGCCUUUUCAAAACUCCCAGUACUAUUUUAGUAGCAAGUCUGUGCUCUGUUUGCGAAUUUACACUUUCUUCCAUGUCGUUCUUUAACGCAGCUGUUAAAUACACGGUGUCAUUAGUUCUCAUUAUGCAAUAUCGCAAUAGGCAAUAUUUGUUGAUUGCUCAUCGCAUGUUUCUUUCACGAAAAAUAUUACUUCUUAUUGACAGUGCGAUCAAUACUGUGCAUGUCCAGAAUAUUACGGAUAGUCUGUGCUACGCGAUACCUAAGCUAUAUGGCUUGCCAGGAAUUUAAUCAAGUACAAUUAUUUUACGUCAUUUUGACUUAAUAUAUAUUUCGCUUUCGUUAUCUUCACGUUUACUCAUUUUUAUCUUACAGUUCAUAGGUGAACUCGUGGCAAUACGUGGCAACGGGGUAAGACGUGAUAAUGUCAUUUGUCUAUAGCUUCUUCCAGAUGACGCUGACUCGUCUUACCCCUUUACUACGUCUUCCCACGACUACAUCUACUGACAUAACACUCUGGAAUUCACUACAACUUCAAGUCAUUCCUUUCAUCGAGACAUUUUUUUAAAUUUUUUGUGACAAUCGACGCUUGUAAUAUUUUUGCAAGGAUCUCUUUUCGUUGGACCAGUGGCAUAGACCUUCUGUACCAUUCUGAAUUCAUAUCGAAUGUACAAGCAUCUUACCUUAUCACAGGAUAAACGAUCUCUGAUCUAAUGAGCUAAUGUAAAUCGUGCUAGCGCGCUAAUUGUUAUAAUUUAGUUUAUUCUAUUUGGGAAAUUAUACGUAUGUAUAUAUAUAGAUGGCAAUACUCAGUACAAUAACAUUGCGAAAUUGUACAUCGAAUUCAUGAAUGGUAGUAUGUGUAUAUAUAUCAUAUAUACAGGGUGUUCCAUAUAAUGAGUCUAAUAAGAUUGUAGCCUGGCUCGGACAAAGUCCAUGUCCAUGCGCCUCUAUUUCUUGGUACUCUUAGGGUUCACUAACGGUCGAAAUUCGGUUUUAUUUGCUAGUUCUUACUUUAAUUGAAAUCUCCCAAAUAGUAGGAAUGAGCGCAGGCGUCACUUUACUCGACCUGGUCGACUCGUUACAUGGAACAUUCUGUAUACGUGUAACGUGCGCCACUCGUGCAAUUUGGCUAUGUAAAUUUUUAAAUAAUAUUUCUAGCGGUUAAUAGAGAGAAAAUCAAUAAUUCAUAAUGAUUUUUCGACGACGCAAAGUACUUGAUAUAUUUUUGUAUAUUUGUUUUGUCAUUCUGUACGUUUUUAACUUGCGUAUUGGUGUCAUCGUGAAUUACGAUGAAUUUUAAUUUUAUGUUUUGUUCUACUCUAUUUAAGUUCAACGCGACUCUCGACGUCUUAUUUGAAGUUUAAUUUUUUUUCUGUCAAUUCAUUCUGAUUUUAUCACAUACAACGAACGUGUAAAGAUUCUCGAAUGUAUUAAUGUACAUACAGGUUUAAUGUAAUUUUAUAAAAUAUUGGACCAGCGUAGAAAGACAUUUUUCUAUGUAUAUUGUUUGUCUAUUUCGAUCAGUCAUGCUCAUUUUAAUGCCUGCACUCAGUAGUAGCAAUGCGGCAAAAUCAAAAUGCGUUAAUCAAACGUUCAGAAGCAAUCACAGACUUUCUGCAAAGAGAAAUUGAUAAAAUAUAUUUUUUUUUAAUCGUUACACCAUCCUUACACUGUAUUGUUAUAGAAUAUUUGUAAUCAUAGUUCAUCCUCUCUCUACUGUGUUAGAUUGGGCCACAGACAGGAGAAAUAAAUGUCAUUUUAAAGAAAGCUAACUUUAGUCGAGACCGUCAUUAUGAGACAAGGGUUAAAAGUGAAGUAAAAAUUUUGUCAUGCAAAGAUCCAAUUCAUUUUGUAGACAAUUGGCAUUUUGGUAUAAUCCAAAUCUUGUGGCUCAAUCUGCAGUGGAUCAUUAAUUCAUUGGAAUCAUCCAUUUGUGAUUAAAUUCGUGAAAACUGUCACUUGCAUGAAUUGUCUGUUGCACUGCACCAUCCCCUAACAUAGAUAAUAAUUAAUUAUUCCACUUGAAUGAUUAUACAAUAACAGAUAUGUGUAAUGCAAACUACCUAAAAAACAAUGUAAAUUAAACUCACUUGAAGAACGUAUAAUAUCUUGUAUACGUUUUAUCAAUGUGCAUUAAAAGAAAGAAAAAUUGAAUUUGCAUUAUCCAACAGGCAAGAGCUGUGCAAUGAUUCUGUCAGUGUUUACCGCACGAGCUUCUAUCUCAUAAGCACUGUAACGAGAGAAAGAAAAAUAUAUAUAAUCAUUUACAUUUUUGUCUAUCCUGUUACAUACGUUGAAUGUGUUUGCAUUGAUUUAUUCUGUAUCUUUUGAUUAUUUAUAAAGAAAAAAAUCUAUCUUGCUUUUGCGUAUGUUCCAUUAGGACUAGACGACAGUUCCGCGCACCUGCUUCCGGAAAUAACAACCACAUUCGAUUCUAAGUGUCUCAUUGCGAAGUUGUCUAAUUAAUUAAGUGCGCCAAGCGUCUGACGAUAAAUUAGAAAACCUGCGAAAUUUAAUGAGAUCUGAUUCUUUUUUUUUACGGCGAAGUUUACUGUACUUUGUUUUGUUUGUCAGCAUCGUUUAGGCAUAUAUUUAUCUUGGACGACGUUCAAAGUUUUUUAUUGUCGCAAUUAUUCGGAAAUUCUCCUACGGCUAUAGUGAUAUAUUGUGAUAUAAAUAAUCGAACAAUGAUAUUCUUCGUAGAGAUUAACAAACGCGUCCGAAUUUCAUGUCUCCGACAUUUAAAAUAAAUUUAAAAGAAAAAACGGUUAGUACCUACUAUAUGCCACUGCAAUAUUUUGCUCUAGUUACAACACUGUAUUAGAAAUCUAAUCAGUGGCUAUAAAAUCAUAGAUAUUUUUAAUAUGACCGUAAUGCGUAGGUUUUGAUGGAGAAAGAAAAACUGUAUAUUGAUAAUUAGACGAUACUUGAUGUUAAUCGUUAAUGAAAUUGUCGGUGACAUUUGCAUGGUACAAAUUACGGUUUAUUAAAAUUACGAAAGAAAUGCAAAUUUGAAGUUUUCAAAAAUUAAAGUCAGACGCGUUUUCAAUCUAAAUGGAUGAUCCUUGGAUUUCAUUGUUCAGUGUCUAACGUCUUGUAUUUAUUUAUUCGACACGUAAACAGUGGACAUUUAACGUCAUCCGUCGUAAAGAAAUUUCUUUGCUGUUAUAUAAAGUAACCAACAAUUAUUAUGUAUAUCGAAUUUGUAAAUACCUAUAUAUUAAUUUAUUAGAUAAUUCCGUUCGAAUUUGUAAAAUAUUUAUAAUUGUCCUUUAAUGUAACCCGUGCAGCGUUUGUAGAUAUUUUUGAAAAACCAUUUCAAAUAAAAUCAUUCGUUUACCGUCAAGUAGUUGCUGAGAUUUGCCGACGUUCGUUUCUUCCAAGUCAAAGGCAAAGAAUUCGAAGCUUCUUGCAAUCAUGAAACUUAAGAGAGAUAUUACGUAAACAAGCGAGAUUGAUAAAUUCAAUAUAAAAACGGGGAAAAAACGUCUGUAUUAAUUAAUUAGUAAUGUAGCGAUAUUGAAUUAUCUAUUUAUACAAAAAGAUAUUCCGGGUAUAGAUAAGCUAGUGUUUGAUUUUUCAUUAUAAUUCAAUUCAGAUAGUAAUUCAAGUGAAAAGUCAUUUGCUAAUAUAAACUAUUACUCAUCGAUAUUAUUUUCAUUGUCCUCCUUUGCUAUGACCUAAUUCUAAAAGCGGUAAAUGACGUAAGAAAAGCGGGGAGCUAUUAUAACCUAUUUUAUUAACGAUGCUAGUAAUGAUUUCUUAUUGCAAGUAAAAUAAUUGAUCGGCUCACUAAAAAGCCGCAUGAAUGAUUCAUCAUUCACAUUUGUACCUUGAGCAAUUGUAGAAAAUUGAGUAGUAAUAAUAAUAAUAAUAACAAUUUGAAUCGCUCGUUCAUUAA
Molecule: RNA transcript, 5611 nt
Organism: Cephus cinctus (wheat stem sawfly)
Lineage: Eukaryota; Metazoa; Arthropoda; Insecta; Hymenoptera; Cephidae
Gene: nudE
Gene name: nuclear distribution protein nudE homolog 1-A
Exons: 7
Source: RefSeq, a predicted model, not a curated record